Oryctolagus cuniculus (rabbit) is the source of this 11527-nucleotide non-coding RNA. NCBI's taxonomy places the organism in Eukaryota, Metazoa, Chordata, Mammalia, Lagomorpha, Leporidae. The record is from RefSeq and is a predicted model, not a curated record.
AUAAAACUUUUUGAUGUUCUCGUUGCUAAUUGCCGAGGUCCUCUUCCAGGAUUGGCUGCUCCCUCAUAACCAUAAGAUAAUUAAAACGAAGGGGGGCAGGGUUAAAAAAACUUUUUUAUCAGCCAGAGGUUAAUGCAAGUGUUUAACAGAUGCUUCACUAUUAAAAUAUUUUCCCCCCAAGUCUCAAAUAUUGAAGAAUCUCAAACCAGAGAGAGCCGCCCCCAGCGAAGACCUUGGCCGGUUUCGAGGUGUGGGCACCUCGGUUCCCCGAAUCUGUGGUGUGGCCGCUAUCGGUGUUCCCCUGGUUUAACUAGCCUGUUUGGACAAAGGAGAAAAGGAAUAGAAAGAAGUCUGAUGCCAAACAGAACGAAUAAUCCAAAGUGCUUGGUAUCUGAGUGGAUUUGUAAAUGCCGAAAUUACACACAUGUUCUUUCAGUCCAAAAAUGACAGAUGGGGAAAUUAAGGCAAAAAAGUCAAGAAAUUUACUCAAAGUCAUGAAGGUGAUAAAUGGUGGAGCUGGAAUAUGGGCACAAGCCACAGGACUUCAGAACCCAAGCCAUUGAACCAUUAGACAGAUGGAAACAAUGCACCUGGUGGAGCAAUUGUUUAGCUACUGCUUCUGACAAUGGGGAGAGAGGAUCUUGUUCUUUCUGUGGAGUGAUUGUCACAGCAUUUCAUGCACUGAAGUUGUCCUUAUUUAUGAAAUAUGCUUUGUUAUUUUCUUUCCCUUCAUGUUGUACUUGAUAUAAUCUUCUGUUCCUUCCUAUUCUUCUCUUCUUUCCUUCAAAAUAGCUUGACUUUUUGUGAUUCUGUAAUUCUGAGAGAAAGGAUGAUAAAAGUCUUGUAAGUUUCAGAAGAAAACAAAUUUUCUAUCAUUUAUGCAACAUUGUUUCCUGGAAGCUCCUCAGAUACUUUCUUUUCUUUUCUUUUUUUAAAUAAAGAUUUAUUUAUUUGAAAGAGUUACACACAGAGAGAAGGAGAGGCAGAGAGAGAGAGAGAGAGAGAGACAGAGAGAGAGAGAGGUCUUCCAUCUGCUGGUUCAUUCCCUAAUUGGCUGCAAUGGCCGGAGCUGCGCCGAUCCAAAGCCAGGAGCCAGGAGCUUCUUCUGGGUCUCCCACGUGGGUGCAGGGGCCCAAGGACUUGGGCCAUCCUCUACUGUUUUCCAAGACCACACCAGAGAGCUAGAUUGGAAGUGGAGCAGCUGGCACUGCAGGCGGUGGCUUUACCCUCUAUGCCACAGCCCCGGCCCCACCUUGUUUUCUAUCAGAAUGAGAUCUAAUACUAUGGAAGUAUUAUCUCAGCAUGCUAAGACUGCACCUACUCAAUACACCUUUAAAAAAAAAAAACACCCUGGGGAGAGCCAGCGUUGAGGCACAAUGGGUUGAGGCUCUUCUGUGAUGCCAGCAUUCCAAAUGGGCACUGGUUCAACCCCAGCAGCUCUGCUUCAGCUCCCUGCUAAUGCCUGGGAAAGCAGUGGAAAAUGACCCAAGUCCUGCCAUAUGGGGGCCCCUGCCACCCAUAUGGGAGACCUGGAUGGAGCUCUGUGUUCCUGGCUUCCGUUUGAACUAGCCCUGGCCUUUGGGACAAUUUGGAGAGUGAACCAGCAAAUGUAAGAUCUCUUUUUCUCCUCAUCUCUGUAACUCUGCCUUUUAAAUAAAUAAAUAAACCCUAAAAACAAACAAACACACAAAAAAACAAAACCCUGGAGGUAUAACAAUGUUUAUUUCCUUUUUUUUUCUUAGCAAGCUGAAUUCCUGUGGAUAAUUAUAUAAUGUAACUGGGCAUUACAUUCCUUAGCACUUUACAUGCACAAGGAAGUUCAGGUUUUUCCUCUUUUAGAAUGUUUUGCCUUUUUCUCUUUCCUGAAGGAGCUGGAUAUUCAUCGAUGUGUUUAGUGUCCUUAAAUCCUAGAAAAGCACACAUAUGAAAAUGUAGGCUUUUUUGGUCUUGUAAUCAAACUCCCUCUUUGUUGUUCUUUCUUAGUGCUCUUCAUCAACAAAAUAGCCAGCAUGGGCCUGAGGAGAAUCUCAUAAUCUAGAUUUCUGGGAGGUUUGAGAAGACAUAUCACUGUUGAAACAGAAUCUUUUUUGUUUUCUUCUAGGAGGGAAUGGUUUUCAGGGAGAGCAAGGACACAUAUGGAAGAUUUUAGCUUGUCUCUGGUGCUACAUGCACCCAUUCAGGACUCCACCAAGAGGCCAGUGCAUGGGAUUAGGCAUCAGAGAUAGGAUGUCAGUCACUUUAAUUUUUUUCUUUGAGUCACAUAUGAGAAAUAAUUUACCAGCACUGACCAAUAUUAUUAACAAAGAGAUGGGGAUAUAAUUUUGUUUUUCCUGUGGCUGUGCCUAAAAUAGAACAUCCAACUCUUCUCUUGGAUGAUUUAAUCUCUUGUAUGGAAAAGGUGAGAUGGUAAAUCUGUUAAAAUAAGUUUCUACUCCUAUGCUCCAUUCUAAGGCUGAAUUCUUCAGCUCCCUCUAUUGACCGAAUUCAAUUAGUUAUUUUAGUAAUGCUGUUUUUACCAAUGUUCGGAUCAAGAUGCCAAUCUCAUUGAUUAAAAAAUACAAAGACAUUUUUGGUUUUCCACUGGAUAAUUGAUGAAUUAUUUAAGACCUAUCAACCCACUACUCCCACUUACCCCAACAUUAAGUACCUGCUAGGCAUCUCUGGGAUUCUGUAAUAAAUAAAGCCUUCUUUGCCUCUUUCUUUUUCCAAAUAUAAUUUUCUUCAUUUCCAAACAUCAUCUUUUAUUUAUUUAUUUAUUUUUUUUAUUUUUUUGACAGGCAGAGUGGACAGUGAGAGAGAGAGACAGAGAGAAAGGUCUUCCUUUGCCGUUGGUUCACCCUCCAAUGGCCGCCGCGGCUGGCGCGCUGUGGCAGGCGCACCGCGCUGAUCCGAUGGCAGGAGCCAGGUACUUCUCCUGGUCUCCCAUGGGGUGCAGGGCCCAAGCACUUGGGCCAUCCUCCACUGCACUCCCUGGCCACAGCAGAGAGCUGGCCUGGAAGAGGGGCAACCGGGACAGAAUCCGGCGCCCCGACCGGGACUAGAACCCGGUGUGCCGGCGCCGCUAGGCGGAGGAUUAGCCUAGUGAGCCGCGGCGCCGGCCUCAAACAUCAUCUUUUAAAUUCAAGGAAAUGGUGCCUUACUACAUCUCAAAGCUUUUGGUAUCCACAUCAGAAAAUAAAUUAUUUUUAGGAAAGUAAUCUCAACAUUAUUUAUAAAUGGGCUCUCUCUCAGAAUCAAUCUUAGUUCAUAUCAGGGACUUCCAUGUUUGAAACACAGCAUGAAUAAUUCUUCUCUGAGGCUCCUGAAAGGCUAGGAGUGAGGUUUCUUGACCUGUUACUCCCUCAACCUCUUCUCUCACUCUCCUCUCUCCUUCUUAGAAGCAGUGGACAGCAGUGGGCUACAAAACUGAUUUUCACUGGUGCCUGGUGGAACCUUAAUUCCUGCCUGUCAGCACAUCCCUAGUCCACUCUCAGACUUUGGAUAAGGACUGGAUAAGCAGUUGAACUUCUGGGUACUUUUCCAAAUGAAAUCCAACCUCUAGACCUUUGGGGGUUUACCCAGCCUUCCUCACUACUUCAAGAUGAGUUUGGAAUGAAUUUUCUCUUAAUGGAUUCUAUUUGUGGGUGGCAGAGGUAAUGACUACAUUGUUCAGAGUCAUGAAUAUAACUUCAAAUAAGGGAAAAGAGCCCUGCAGGAAUGUGAGAAUAGAUGUGAUCCCAAGGAAGGUGUGCCUGAGGAGGUGCUGGGAGAAUCCGAUAGGCUGUUGAAUGGAAAUACUGUAUCUCACAUGACAGAAGUCACCUUUUGACAUUAAAGUUGUGUUUGAGGGUGAUUUAAAAAAUAAUAUAGCUGACAGAAGUAUUACUUUGUGAUACAAUAAAAUGAAUAUACAACAUUCAAGAUCAAUUACUGAGGACUUAUUCGCUGGGAGAAUGAUGAUAAGACAUUAAAAAUAAAAUUUGUAGACAUAGCACCCUGUCUAAGUGGGACUAUGCCUUCUGCUGCUUUAUUGAAAAGAAUUAUUUUUUGUAGAAAAUUCUAUUGAAUUAUAUGACUCAUGUGUCUGACUCUAAAACUGUAAAUGUUGUAAGAAUUGAAAUAUAACAAUUUAAAAAUACCAAGAUAUCUUUUAGAAUUCUCAUUUUUAGCACAGCUAUUUUUCCAUUAAAAUAAAUCAUCCAUUUCUGUUUGUACAAGUUCCUACUCUCAUACGUGUGAAGGCUAUGGUAAAGUAUACCAGGCUACCAGAUACCUUCCCUGCUUCACUAUAAUUAUGCCUCUAUUUCAUACUCCACGUUUUAUGCCUAGGUCUCAGAUAUAUGUUCAGCAUGCUGUAUCUUCAUGUGCUUGUUUUGGUAAUAGUUUAAAUAAUGGAUUCCUUUGGGCAAACUCUAUACUUUGAAAAUGAAACUUAUUUCCCUUAACAGAAAAGUAUGAUCAACACAUUUGUGAUCAAAAUGAACAUAAAUGUGAUCUCCUUUGGCAAGAAUUAUUUAUUUGAAAGGCAGAGAGAAAGGGAGGGAGAGAGAGAGGAGAAAGAGAAGUGAAUCUACAUCUGUUGGUUCACUCCUGAAAUGCUUGCAGUAGUCAGGGCUGAGCUAGGCUGAAGCUAAGAGCUGGAAAUUCAGUCUAGGUCUUCUAUGUUGGUGGUGGGAGCCCAACUACUUCAGUUAUCAACUGCUGCCUCCUUUACUGUGCAUUAGCAGGAAACUGGAAUUGGUAGCAGACCUAAGACUUGAACCGAAGAACUCUGACAUAGGAUAUGGGUGUCCUAAGCAGCACUUUAAACACUAAACCAAAUACCUACCCCUCCUUUGGUGAGAAACAAGCAAUUAUGCAACAAUCUAGCUUAUGUACUCAGUGCAGUUAUCAAGAGGUAGAUUUAAUCUUACCACCAGGAAUGUUCUCUUCUAGACAGGAAUGAAUACAAGACAAAUGGAUGGUAGAAUACUGUUAUAGAUGGUGGCGUAAGGUAAGUGUCAAUUAUGUGACAUUGAUGUGUAUAUCUCCAGGAGGAGUAGAUGAUAUUCAGGGAGGACAGGUAGAUAAGCAAUAGGACUUGAUCCAAGGCUUGAACAGAAGAUGGAUAGAGAGGAGAGUAGAUGAUUCAGGCAGUAGGGUAGAUUUUACUUUUGUUUGCAAUUAUUAUUUUUAAAAAAGAUUUAUUUAUUUGAUUUGAAAGGCAGAGUUACAGAGAGGGAGAGGCAAUGGCAGAGAGAAAGAAAGAGAAAGAGGGAGAGAGAGAAAGAGAGAGAGGGAGAGAAAAAGAAAGAGUUCUUCUAUCCUCUGGUUCACUCCCCAAAUGGCUGUGACAGCUGAAGGUUGGCCAGUCUGAAGCCAGGAUCCAGAAGCUUCUUCCGGGUCUCCCAUGUGGGUGCAGGAGCCUAAGGACUUGGAGCAUUUUCCACUGCCCUCCCAGGCACAUUAACAGAGAGCUCGAUUGGAAGUGGAGCAGCUAGGAAUCGAACCAGCACCCAUGUGGGAUGCUGGCACUACAGGUGGUGGCUUAACCCACUACAUCACAGCACUGGCCCCUGUUUGCAAUUAUUAUCCUCUGUCCUUCCCUGUAAAAGGAUUAUAAACCCUUGCUAGUUGCAAUGUGAUUUUUAAUGUAUGUGGAGAAGUACAUGGUUAUUUUCUUGGUCCAUUAAUAUUGGGACUAACUAUAUGUGUUUUGCUCUGACCAAAUAUGAGUGAACCUGAUGCAUGUCAUAUCACUGUAGAAGCUUUAAAUGUGACUGCAUGUUUUAUUUCUGCACUAUACCAAAAGUAGAGUAUGUUUUAGCUAGUGGAAGCUUCUUGGGUAUGGGUUCCAAAUAGAACAGAGUUGGAACACGAGGCUUGGCUCAAACUGACUAACAAUCUACACAAAGUGUGAAUGACAAAGAAAUAUUUGCUGUUACAUUCGUUGCAAUUUUGAGGUUGUUACUGCAGCUCAGCUGACUAAUACUGGCACAAAACACAGCUUGAGUAAAUGAAUGAGGAUGUAGAAAGUUACAUUUUUGAGAGACAGUAAAAAAAGCCUAAUUUGGCUCAAGCAAGCAAGGGAUUUGUGAAAGAGAGGAGUAAAAAUGGAGGUAGAGAUAGAUAUAGAUAGAGAUAGAACGUGAUUAGACUACAUCUUGGAAGUCUUGAAUAGCAUAUAAGAACAUUGAUCUUAUUAUCUAGGCAGUGGGAAAACAUUAAAGACUUUAAGCCUGGAGUGAAGGAACAAAGGGAGAAUUUGAGGAAUAUUUGUCCAACAGCAGUGUUAUGAUAAAGUGGAAAGUGGGAAAUAAACCAACACUUAACACAUGUGCUUUAAAAAGAUUUCUGAUGAAAAAAUGAUUUUGGUAGGAGAAGGUGCAAUUCAGACACUAAAAUACAAGGAAAAAACUCUAGUAAGCCAAACAACUUUUUAAAAAAGAUUAUUUAUUACACACACACACACAGAGAAAUGAGACACACACACACAGAGGGGAGAGAGAGAGGGGGAGAGAGAGAGAGAGAGAGAGAGAGAGGAAAUCUCCCAUCCUUUGGUUCUGGUUCAUUCCCCAAAUGGCUGCAAUGGCUGGGGCUGGUCCAGGCUGAAGCUUGAAGCCAGGAGCUUUUUCCAGGUCUCCCACGUGGAUGCAGGAGCCCAAGUACUUGGGUCAUCUGCUGCUUUGCCAGGUCAUCAACAGGGAGCUGGAUGGGAAGUGGAGCAGCAGGGACUUGAACCCAGCUUGAACAGAAGGGAUGCUGGAUUCUAUAUGGGAUGCUGGCACUGCAAGCAGUGGCUUAACCCACUGUGUAAAGAGCCAGCUCCAAAUCAAACAACUUUAAAAUAAAAAAAAUUGAUAUGACCAUGAUAACACAUACAUAUGUGUUUUAGGCUGAGGAAGCAGAGCAACCUGCUGGGAGUUGUUGACAUCCUUUUCCAUCUGGAACUUUAUGUAACCACACUAAAUGCCUGAGGUCAAAGCCUUAAAGGACUUCAUAAUUCAACUUUAUCCCUUUCCUAUGAACCGACACUCCAACUAAUGUGCAAUCUUUUCCUUUGGCCUAAAGAUGCACUAUUACUGUUCAACUCAUUGUGGUAAGAACCUUGUGAAGAGAAUAUUAAAGGCACUGCCAAUUCAUAAACUUGUGAUUAGCUUAUAAUUGUCAUACAUAGAAUCUAUAAAAUUUCAACAUGGUGGAUUUUCCUCACGUUUAUAAGUGGAAAGUGUUAUUGGCGGUAAGUGGAAGCCUGUAUGGUAUUGCAUGUAAUAGGAAAUUUAUCUUCUUUCUAUUUUGCUUCAUACUUCACCUACUUUGAGCCCACCUAUGAAUGUCAUUUGUAACAGGACAGUUGUUUUGCAUGGAGUCUAUGAACUCUUUUCCUAGAGAAUGUGUCAUUUGACAAUUAGUUCAUUGAGGGUGGUUAGUAGAGGCCUAUGCCAACAAUAGCACAUAGCCAAGAAGGUCCUCUGAAUAUUAGAAUCCUCAUCUGCCUCCAGACACAAAUUUGUUCCAUUUCUAAUUCUUCAAUAUAAUUUUCUUGGUUGAAAUCAGACAUUUUUAUUCACCUUAAUUCACCUUAAUCAUAGUAUUUCCCUCAAAUCUCACAAAGCCCAGCAUGUUACUGCUGUUCUGAAAGUCUCCUGCAUUGUGAGUGACAUGUUUAAUGAAUUGGAAGUGUCUGUGCACAUUGCAUUUGCUUAAAAAGGGAAACUCCUUUUAAACAGCCAUAGCUACAGAAAUUCAAUUUAGUUUAGUUAGGAGGAAAUGAGAGACUUGAAUUGUAGGUGUGGAGUCUUACAAUCUUUCAGAACGAUAAAAGCAUGGUUUGGGGGAUGGUUGGAACCACAAGGAAUUUCUCUUCAGCUAGCAUUACUUUUGUGAGCACAUUCCCAAACUCAUGAUCAUGUUUAGAUAAGAAAAAUCUCUUUCUCCAUGAGUUCUCAGGUCCCACUCAUUGGCCCCCUGCCCCCAAUUCUGGAACCUAUGUCAGGCUGUUAUGUGGCUUAGCUCUUGGUGAUAUGUUUUCAAUUUGAGUCAACUUGAUGAGAGAGAAAUUACUAAAAAGUGGGAAUGAGCUGUGAGGUGAAUAGGGUUUUCCUAUCAAAGUGGGGGUAUUUUUAAAAGCAUUUAUUAUUUCAAACUAAAACAUUUAUAGAAAGCCAUGAGUGUGAAGUGUAUGAUUACCAGUUGUGGCUUUGCUGUAUUGAAAAUUCAAGUUCAUAGGAAAUAUUUACUGAGGCUCUGGCUAGCAAGCAGUUGUUCAAGGGAGCAAUUUUGUUUAGAACGCAUGUCAGUUUAAACCAAUAGUUUGCUAGCAUAAUAGUUACAGGCAAUUUGGAUUCAUAAAUGUUACCAUGACUGAGACAUCACUAGGAAUCUUAUAACCAAUUCUAAAUGCAUCUAUGUUCUUACACAUGAGAUGAAUAUCAAAGUGAGAAAACCACUUCUCCAAUUUCAAUAUUUUAUGGGCUCUGAUGUAAUUCACUUAUUUUUCAGUAUUAAAAAUGAUUAAUAUGAUUUUUGGCAUGUUUAUUCCAUAGGAAAGGAACAUUUGACUUCUAAGUGAAAAGUCUGGCUUUGUGGAUUAAAGAGAUGUUAUAUAGCUAAAUUUACUUUCUUGUAAGAGGUAAAUUUUGUGUGAUAUUCUCUGGAAAACUAUUUGAAACACGUAAAAUUCUCUUGUGUGAAUUCUGGAGAUGCAAGGGAAAUAUAUUUAAUCACAUUAGGUAAGAACAUGCCUUUUUCUGUGACUUCUUAGUAAACUCAAAGUAUUUUUUCUCACUUGAUUAUAUGUCAUGGGGUACAUUGCACAGCUAUGUAAUUACCAAGGACUUUGGUCAUCCUCCACUGUUUUCCCAGGUACACCAGCAGGGAGCUGGAUUGGAAAUGGAGCAGCCAGGACUCCAACCAGUGCCUAUAUAGGAUGCUGAUUUGUAGGAGGUGGCUUAAUCUAUUAUGCCACAAGCUAAACCCAUCAUGCAAAAUUUUAUAUGUGUACAUGUGCAUGUGUAUAAAAAGAGAGAUGUGUUGAAUCUUGUUAAUUGUUAACUCUGGGAGGUGGGUUUUUGAGUGGUUAUUAUUUUCUUAUUACAGUUUUUUUGGUACUUAAUUUUCUUUUAUUAUUGUGAAAAUAUUUGAAAUACAUGUGAAAGAAGAUAUGUAUAGCUUAAAAAUGAUAAUGUAAUAAAUAUCCAUUACCUAGCUAAGAACAUGCUAUUUUGCUGCCUUAGAAGGUGAGCCUUCCUUCUGCCCUGCCUCUGUCAUGGAGAUAACUACUUGCUUGAAAUUUAUGCUAAUUGCUUCUUUGCUUUCUUACAUAGUUUAGCUACUUAUGAAUGUAUCCAUAAAUUAUAUGUAAUUUUAUUAUGAAUUUUUGAAUGUAAAAUAAAUGAAAUCAUACCGCAUCUAUUCUUUGAUGACUGUCUUUUUUCUUUGUUUAUUGUUUUUGAAAUUCAUCCAUGUUAAUGUGUGUGUCUGAUUUUUUUUCUGUAAGUAGAAAACAUAACUCCAACCACACAUAAAAAGUUAAUGAUGUUAUAGUCAUUUUGAAAAAGCAAACCUCAUAUGUGCAACUAAAAAGUAUAUGUGGGAGCACCAUUGUGGGUAGCAGAUUAAGCUGCUGUUUGCAGUUGUUGGCAUCCAAUAUUGGAAUGAUGGUUGAGUCUUGGUCACUUUGCUUCUGAUCCAACUCCCUGCUAAUGCACUUGGGAAAGCACCAGAAGAUGGUCCAAGUAUUUGGAUUGCUGCCAUUUAUGUGGCAGACCUGGAUGGAGUUCCAGGCUUCUGGCUUCAGCCUGGUCCAAUCCCUGCCUUUUUGACAACUUGGUGAGUGAACCAGUAGAUGGAAGAUUCUCUCCCUCUUUCUCUCUCCCUUUUAAGUAAGUAAGUAGGUAAGUAAGUAAAUAAAUAAAUAAAGUUUUAAAAAACUGCUGGAAAAGUGCUUUUCAGAAGGGAAUUUUUUUGUUCAUCCAUGUGUAUCCACAUAUGGACAGCAGAUAGCUACUCUGAGAAUAUGAUUUUAGGAGACACUGGCUGCACACCAAAAGAAAGAAAUGUCUCUCUUUCCUGCCCCUGAUGAUUAGUCGCUGUGUCUGAAAUUCAACCAUUUGCUAUUUCCCUGUGAAUUUUAAGGAUUAUCUCACAAAAAGAAAAUUGAGUCAUUGGCCAGUACUGGGCUUUAGUACUUAGAAGGCAAAGAGCAGGUCUUGAAAGGCAGAGGAAAGGAGAAUUUUAGAGCUUGAGAUAUCUGGAGGUCAGCGUGACACUGAAAUGAAAGCUCACAAUAUCCAGGAUGUGCGGUCAUCCAUGGAGGAGUGGAUAAGGAAGACGUGCUACCUAUAUACACCAGAAUAUUAUUCAGCCUUAAAAAGAAGGAAACAGUUCUGUCCUUUGCGACAAUAUGGAUGAACCUGGAGGGCAUUGGGCUGCAAAUGUUGCUGCUGUUUUGGAGUUCUAUGCUUCCUGGAAUACUGUGUGGGAGCAAAUUAAAAAAUCGGAGUCACCUGACUAAUUGUUUUCUUACACUUUAAACCCAGGAGAUGACUAAAUAGGUGAUAAAGUCUUUUACAUCGUGGAUGGAUGUCCACCACCACACAGUCACUGCCCAUCUCACUUCAUCAUUGCUUGGGGCUCUCAGCUGCACUUCAUCAUAUAUCAUCGCCUUUGAGCCUGCCCUGGUCACGCCACCUCGCACUUCAUCACUUCUUGCAUUCUUUGUAAGCUCUCAGUCUGGUUACAGGAAUUGUUUGUGUUGUCUACUAAUUCAUUAUUUAAAGCAAAUAUAAAUUAAUCAAACUUUGUUGGUAUCUGGUACAGUUCAUUUUAAUUGAUGAAAACAGUGACUAUUUAGUUGUUCAUCAUCAAAAAGGAGUAAGUCAUGAUAAAAUGCAGUCAAGAAGAUGUUAUGGGCUAUUAUGUAGUUUCUGGGCUUUAUUCUUGUCUAUACUGAUUUUGUGAUACUGAACAGGCAAUCUAUCUCUGGGGACUUUUAUUACAUUAAACCAAAAGAAAUAAAGAUACCGUGGAAUGCUCUGUUGAGGGGGUCAACAUUAUGAGUUGAUCAUGAAGCCCCUGAUGAUGCUAACUUCAGCAAGUGAUUACUUUGAGUGCAUUUCAUUUUUUGUUGUUGUUGGCAGCAUCUCAAUCCUAAACAACUUUGACCUGAACAGGUCGAACGUUUGUGAAGUAAGCUGGACAUCUGAAAAAAAAUCUCUAUUCAAAAUUAAAAGUACUAUUGUUCUAUGGUUUCCUAUUGAUUUAGAUAGAUUUUUAUGAGUCAAUUAUGCUUUCAAGUUUUCUAAUGCAAAGUUAACAGCAAUAUAUUUUUAUUAUAUGAUGGAAAUGACCAUGGCAAAUAUAAUUUUUCACAGUAAUCACAUUUUAUUCAUUCUCAUGUAUUGUGAAGAGCAAUUUCUCAUUUUUUUGCUGUAAUGAUCUCAAAUACCAAAGUAGAUUUUCUAUCAUUCUAAGUGCAGUAGAAUAAAACACUGUAUAUUUAAAAGUUUAUCAUUUGGAUGAGCAUUGUGAUACAGCAGACUAAGUUAAGUUACCAUGUGCUACACAU